GAUACGAAGUGAAAAAACAUAAGGUCAAUCGUAACAUGCAAAAGAUGGGGCACACUGUAGGAUCGAGAAGCUUUCCACGGAUCAAAGUAAGAAUGGUAAGUGUUUGCCCUAUCUUACGAUACUACUCACUAUUUUGAGAACAUUUGUUUUGCUGAUUAUGGAUGAAUAGUAUGUAGGUUUUCAAGGUCUUGCUUCUAGAACUUAUGAAUUUUGAGAACAUUUGUUUUGCUUAUUAUAAUCACUAUUUUGGGAAUGCUUAUUUUGUUGGUUAUGGAUAAAUAGUAUGUAGGUUUUCAAGAUCUUGCAUUUAGAACUUAUGAAUUUUGAAGAAUACAUUAUAAAGCAUCGAAAACAAUAUUGUCAUGUCAUGUCAUUGGUUCAUAUAAAUCUGGAACCUUCCUUUCUAUCUUUAACUCAUUCCCUUGCAACAACAUUGGUUCAUACAUCCCAUUUCAUUUUGCUUUCGUUGUGAGGCACAAAUUAACAUAAGAAACUCCUUAUCCCCUAGAGAGUUGUUUCUAGUUUCUAGCCAUGAAUAGAAUGCCCUGGAGAUAAUAGCUUGUUAAACAACCAGCAAUCUCCAAAUUUAGCUAGAAUUUUCUUUUUCCUUGUAAGUGGCCGGCCUAGAAAUCUAUUGAUCGUAGUCUGUAGACCAUAGAUCAUUGAGCACUCCAACACAUGAUAUCUAAUCACAUAGCUGUCCAUUCAAUCUCAAACAAAUUCUAGUCAAAAUAAAAAGUAUCUUUUGCAAAGCCUUGGUUCAUUUUGGAUGAAGAACAUAGCAGAAACUAAAGGCAUACUAUGAAAAUCUAAAAAUCUGCAAAGCCUAUAUCUAAAAUUUUGAAAAUCUGUAACUACAUCUAAGAAUCUGAAAUUCUGAAAACUUAUAUCUAAAAAUCUGAAAAUCUGCAAAGCCUAUAUCUGAAAUUUUGAAAACCUGUAACUGCAUCUAAAAAUAUGAAAUUCUUAAAAUCUGUAUCUAAAAAUUUAAAAUCUGCAAAGCCUAUAUAUGAAAUUCUGAAAACCUGUAACUGCAUCUCCAAAUCUAAAAUUCUGAAAACCUGUAUCUGAAAAUUUGCAAACCUGUAUCUACAAACUGAUAUUCACAAAACCUGAAAACAGUAAAAUGUAACUGCAUUCCCUUUGCAGCUUUGGGCAUGGAAAUAAGCUGUCUCAGCUUGAUCCAUUAUCCUCCUUCUGUAAAUAUUCUCCCAUUAAUAAAAUUGGGGUGGUAUAACCUCUCACUUCAUCAAAAAAAAAAAGUAUCUUUUGCUCAUACUAGGAAUUUCAUCUUUACGAAAGAAGUUUCUUAAAACACUUAAAUAUUAGUUUUUAUAUGUAAAAAAAAUAUUAGUUUUACUCUAUCAUCUCUUCAACAUGAAAAAUAGCAACAUUUUAUGAUCUACCAAUUGCUCACUGUAUAAACAUGAAGAAGGCAUGUACUUUUCUUCAAGUUUGUUAAUAUGUGCAGUGAAUAAAGAGUUUUUUUAUUAAAAAUAGAUUAAAAGAAAAUCAUAACUAAAAAUUAUUCUUUCAUAUAAGGCCUCCUCGCAAACGAUCCCAUCAUGCAAAUUAUCCUUUCAUAAUUAUUGUUUUCAGAUCCAUAAUUAUUUUAUCAAUAUUAUCUUCUUUGUUAAUUGUAUGUAGGGAGAAAAAAUGGCUAAUGGAAGGGAACCAACAAGAGCUAAAAUUUUCAUUGGAACACAUGGAUGCAAAGAUGGGACCCUUAUAGAUUUGAAAUGCAACAAUAAAGAGAUUAUCUUAUUUAUUACUGAUUUACUAAUUAAAAUUUAUAUGACCAUCAAUACAGGCUGAGCUUGAAAGGCUUACCAAUCUGCAAUCAAAUUCCAAGGACAAUAUCAAUCCAAAUGAUAUAUCUCUCAAGUCUUUGGUAAGGAGAAACAUAGUCAUAUCAGGACAUGUGGAUUGGAUGUUUGUCCUACCGGUCUUUGGAGCAAAAUUCUAGUUCUGUAGAGAAUACAAAGAUGCAAAUGAGAUUCAUAAAUUUUUUAAAAAAAAGUUACAAUCUGUUUGACAAGAAAAUGCUGAUGUGAAAGUCCAGUUAGCAGAUUUAAAGGUAUUGGUUGAAUCUAUGCAAGACAGAUAGACUGAGGCCGACAAACAUGCCACAACUUCUCAAAUCAGACGAGUACAUUUAUUUUUAGCAAAUAUUUUUAUAAUUAUCUAAUUUGAAUGUAUAGAUGAAUCUUAACUCUUUAUUUCAUAUAGGAUAUUGAUGCCUCUAGCGAUAAUGAUGAGACACUGACACAAAAUUACUCUUCUUCAAAUCGUCAUAUUGCUACAUCCUGUCAAAUAUUUAGUUACACCUUUAAUUUUUACAUUCUUAUUAGUCUUGUUUUCUAAAAUCCUAUAAGCUUUUUUAAUUUGAUUUUUAUGCUCAUACAAAUAUGCUAUGUGCAUGUCAAUUAUGAUAGAAUGAAUAAGUGGGUUAGCCAAUUACUUAUUACAUGUACAUAUAUAUGAUUUUAAUUCACUCAACAAUUUCAUUUCUAACUCUAAAGCCGUAUUCUAUAUAUACUCAGAUGUAGACCAAGUCUAUUUGUCUUUUUUUUUUAAAUUGAAAUGAUUUUGUCUAUUUAGAUGCAGGGUAUUUCAAAAACGAUAAAGUUACAAUGUUUUAUUGAGGUAAACACUUAUGAACUUUUAAUUUAUUUUUUUAGUUCAUAUAGAUAUAGUUGCAAUCUAUUAAGCUUUUUUUAGCUUUUGAUUUAUUUUAUUUCUUGAUAAAUAUUAUAGAUUGGAAGCGAUGUUGUCUUAAAAUGCUAUAGGUUUCCCCACAAACCUAUUGCACGAGGAGUUUUACUUAGUAAAGGUCCACUCGCCAUGAUAGGAAAGGAUGCACUUGGACAUCAUUUUGGGAAGUACAAGUUAAUGUGGCAUGCGUACCUCAAGAGCCUUCAAUAAGACUAUGAGAUCGACUAAGAAGAAUUGUAGAUGCAGUGGGAUACUGGAUUGCCAGGCCUUCAACUUAUAUAUUAUACUAAUACAAAUUAUUUAUAUAUUUAUAUGAAUUUAUUUUUUAUGAUAAAUAAAAUAUCUAUGUAUCGUAAGCUAAUUAUGUAUUUCUUUAUUUUUACAGGUAGCAGUUGCUGAAGAUUAGUAGAAGAAAUCAUUUGCAAUUACCAUGCAUGGAUAUUGAGCAUAAAUAAUUUUAUUUGUUUCAAUAAAGAACUUCUUUAGUGUGGUUGUCAUGACUACAUUUGUUCGUGUAUGGGUUACCAUGUAAAG
This 3249-nucleotide long non-coding RNA is filed under the name Elaeis guineensis (African oil palm). RNAcentral's name for it is "long non-coding RNA (EGUI_LNC008557)". The record is from RNAcentral. Lineage: Eukaryota; Viridiplantae; Streptophyta; Magnoliopsida; Arecales; Arecaceae.